Molecule: long non-coding RNA, 643 nt
Organism: Erpetoichthys calabaricus (reedfish)
Lineage: Eukaryota; Metazoa; Chordata; Cladistia; Polypteriformes; Polypteridae
Exons: 2
Source: RefSeq, a predicted model, not a curated record
UCUACCCAGACAGCUUAGGAAGUGAAAGUUUAAAAACAGCUGAUAUACAAACACUCCGUCCAGUCAUCCUGAGCCCCGAAAUAGCGGGAUAUGGCCAUUGUUAUGCAACAACUUUGACUCAACAAUCACUGAAAAAAAUGCAGGAGGUUGGGGGACAGACCCAGCCAGGACGCCUGGACGGACUGGGAGGUGGCGUAUACGUCCCCCGGGCCACGAGGGGGCAACCGCCCUGGAUGUUGAGGGGACCACGGGAAAAGAGCAAGGAGGCUCAAGCCCAUUGCCACCACCAGGGGGCACCCCGAGCCUCAUGGAACCUGGGAAACAUUCAUUUCCGCCACACCAGGAAAGAUGGAGGAAGAUCCUUCCAGGGACGCCUGGAGUGCUUCUGGGUGCAAGGGCAGCACUUCCUCCACACCAGGAAGUGCUGCCAGAAGAAUGUCAUCAGGCACCUGGAACACAUCCAGGUGGGAAUAAAAGGAGCCGCCUCUCUACAAUCAGGGAGCUAGAGUCGGAAGUGGGAGCAGGGCGAAGCUCCUGUGAAGAGAGGAAAGGCGGACCAUGGACUGAGAGAGAAAGGCCCGUGUUGGGAGUGAUUGGUGCUGGGAGAACUGUGUUUCAAUAUUAAACGUGUGCUUUUUAUAAA